UAUGGAGAGUUUGAUCCUGGCUCAGAGUGAACGCUGGCGGCGUGCCUAAUACAUGCAAGUCGAACGAUGAAGCUUUCUAGCUUGCUAGAAUGCUGAUUAGUGGCGCACGGGUGAGUAACGCAUAGGUUAUGUGCCUUUUAGUUUGGGAUAGCCAUUGGAAACGAUGAUUAAUACCAGAUACUCCCUACGGGGGAAAGAUUUAUCGCUAAGAGAUCAGCCUAUGUCCUAUCAGCUUGUUGGUAAGGUAAUGGCUUACCAAGGCUAUGACGGGUAUCCGGCCUGAGAGGGUGAACGGACACACUGGAACUGAGACACGGUCCAGACUCCUACGGGAGGCAGCAGUAGGGAAUAUUGCUCAAUGGGGGAAACCCUGAAGCAGCAACGCCGCGUGGAGGAUGAAGGUUUUAGGAUUGUAAACUCCUUUUGUUAGAGAAGAUAAUGACGGUAUCUAACGAAUAAGCACCGGCUAACUCCGUGCCAGCAGCCGCGGUAAUACGGAGGGUGCAAGCGUUACUCGGAAUCACUGGGCGUAAAGAGCGCGUAGGCGGGAUAGUCAGUCAGGUGUGAAAUCCUAUGGCUUAACCAUAGAACUGCAUUUGAAACUACUAUUCUAGAGUGUGGGAGAGGUAGGUGGAAUUCUUGGUGUAGGGGUAAAAUCCGUAGAGAUCAAGAGGAAUACUCAUUGCGAAGGCGACCUGCUGGAACAUUACUGACGCUGAUUGCGCGAAAGCGUGGGGAGCAAACAGGAUUAGAUACCCUGGUAGUCCACGCCCUAAACGAUGGAUGCUAGUUGUUGGAGGGCUUAGUCUCUCCAGUAAUGCAGCUAACGCAUUAAGCAUCCCGCCUGGGGAGUACGGUCGCAAGAUUAAAACUCAAAGGAAUAGACGGGGACCCGCACAAGCGGUGGAGCAUGUGGUUUAAUUCGAGGCUACACGAAGAACCUUACCUAGGCUUGACAUUGAGAGAAUCCGCUAGAAAUAGUGGAGUGUCUGGCUUGCCAGACCUUGAAAACAGGUGCUGCACGGCUGUCGUCAGCUCGUGUCGUGAGAUGUUGGGUUAAGUCCCGCAACGAGCGCAACCCCCUUUCUUAGUUGCUAACAGGUUAUGCUGAGAACUCUAAGGAUACUGCCUCCGUAAGGAGGAGGAAGGUGGGGACGACGUCAAGUCAUCAUGGCCCUUACGCCUAGGGCUACACACGUGCUACAAUGGGGUGCACAAAGAGAAGCAAUACUGCGAAGUGGAGCCAAUCUUCAAAACAUCUCUCAGUUCGGAUUGUAGGCUGCAACUCGCCUGCAUGAAGCUGGAAUCGCUAGUAAUCGCAAAUCAGCCAUGUUGCGGUGAAUACGUUCCCGGGUCUUGUACUCACCGCCCGUCACACCAUGGGAGUUGUGUUUGCCUUAAGUCAGGAUGCUAAAUUGGCUACUGCCCACGGCACACACAGCGACUGGGGUGAAGUCGUAACAAGGUAACCGUAGGUGAACCUGCGGUUGGAUCACCUCCUU
Molecule: ribosomal RNA, 1502 nt
Filed under: Helicobacter pylori
Lineage: Bacteria; Pseudomonadati; Campylobacterota; Epsilonproteobacteria; Campylobacterales; Helicobacteraceae
Description: bacterial SSU rRNA
Rfam family: Bacterial small subunit ribosomal RNA
Source: RNAcentral